CGGGCCUCUGAAGAUUGAACACGUGUGUGUGUGCGCUGGGAGGCUGACCCUCUGUCUCCACACCAUGAGCAAGGAAGAAAAAGCCAGAAUCUAUCUGGAGCACCUGGUCAAAAUAGGGCAUGCAGCAGAGAUUUUCUAAGUCCUUCUUACAACUUGUUGCUGACCAUAUAAAGAUGGGUAAGAAAACCUGGCUAUAAUACAUCUGGACCCUUCAAGCAAGUCAACAAUAUGGAUUAAACAUAGUUGAGGCACCACUACUGAUCCUGGUGACAUUUCACUGGUUACCAUUUGCCAGUUGGAAAUAACCCACUUAUCCCAACUUUGGUUUCUGUUAAUUAGUCAAUCUUCUAUCCAUCCAAAUACAUGGUCAAAACCAUAAUCUCUAGGAAUUUAACCUCCAGUGUUAAUAACUCAUGUUACAACCCUGCUUUGAAGAAGCUAACAUUUAUAUUGCCCUUAUUUCUAUAACGUUUUUGUGGAAAACUGAUCGAAAAGACCUGUAAGUAGCACUUUGUGAAGAUUCAUAACUGAG
Molecule: non-coding RNA, 532 nt
Organism: Chiloscyllium plagiosum (whitespotted bambooshark)
Lineage: Eukaryota; Metazoa; Chordata; Chondrichthyes; Orectolobiformes; Hemiscylliidae
Source: RefSeq, a predicted model, not a curated record